RNAcentral lists this transfer RNA (72 nucleotides) under Capra hircus (goat). It matches the Rfam family "tRNA". From Rfam's summary of the family: Transfer RNA (tRNA) molecules are approximately 80 nucleotides in length. Their secondary structure includes four short double-helical elements and three loops (D, anti-codon, and T loops). Lineage: Eukaryota; Metazoa; Chordata; Mammalia; Artiodactyla; Bovidae. RNAcentral also lists the same sequence under 1 other name. The record is from Rfam by way of RNAcentral.
UCCCUGGUGGCUGAGACGGUAAAGCCUCUGCCUACAGUGCAGGGGACCCGAGUUCAAUCCCUGGGUUGGGAA